CAGCAGCCACGGUAAUACGUAGGUCCCGAGCGUUGUCCGGAUUUAUUGGGCGUAAAGCGAGCGCAGGCGGUUUGAUAAGUCUGAAGUUAAAGGCUGUGGCUCAACCAUAGUUCGCUUUGGAAACUGUCAAACUUGAGUGCAGAAGGGGAGAGUGGAAUUCCAUGUGUAGCGGUGAAAUGCGUAGAUAUAUGGAGGAACACCGGUGGCGAAAGCGGCUCUCUGGUCUGUAACUGACGCUGAGGCUCGAAAGCGUGGGGAGCGAACAGGAUUAGAUACCCGCGUAGUCCCUGUCUCUUAUACA
This 301-nucleotide ribosomal RNA is filed under the name uncultured bacterium. RNAcentral describes it as "partial 16S ribosomal RNA". It matches the Rfam family "Bacterial small subunit ribosomal RNA", at positions 509 to 808 of the family's 1533-position model. The record is from RNAcentral.